UACGUAGGGCGCAAGCGUUAUCCGGAAUUAUUGGGCGUAAAGAGCUCGUAGGCGGUUUGUCGCGUCGGCUGUGAAAUCCCGAGGCUCAACCUCGGGUCUGCAGUCGAUACGGGCAAACUAGAGUAUUGCAGGGGAGACUGGAAUUCCUGGUGUAGCGGUGAAAUGCGCAGAUAUCAGGAGGAACACCGGUGGCGAAGGCGGGUCUCUGGGCAAUAACUGACGCUGAGGAGCGAAAGCGUGGGGAGCGAACAGG
RNAcentral lists this ribosomal RNA (253 nucleotides) under uncultured bacterium. RNAcentral's name for it is "partial 16S ribosomal RNA". It matches the Rfam family "Bacterial small subunit ribosomal RNA", at positions 524 to 776 of the family's 1533-position model. The record is from RNAcentral.